AAAGGGAGACCUAAUUCAGGUAAAAGACGAAAAAAAAGUAGUCGCUACCAAGAAUCAAUCCCAAAAGGUCGGAGCGAGGCGAAAUUGGCUUUCAAACUAGGUUCUGGGUUCACACAAGACCUGAAUCAGGAACAAGGGCUAUUAGCUCAGGUGGUUAGAGCGCACCCCUGAUAAGGGUGAGGUCCCUGGUUCGAGUCCAGGAUGGCCCACCUGCACAGGUGGCAAAAACAAGAGAAGCGAGGAAUCAGCACCUUAUCUUAUAUACAUAUAUAAGAGAGAAUGCUGGCUCUGAGUACAGAGUCCAGAGGAACCUUGAAAACUGCAUAGAGCUAGGUGAAAAAGCCAAAAAAGAAGACCGCAAG
Molecule: transfer RNA, 362 nt
Filed under: uncultured Microcystis sp.
Lineage: Bacteria; Bacillati; Cyanobacteriota; Cyanophyceae; Chroococcales; Microcystaceae
Description: partial 16S-23S ribosomal RNA intergenic spacer
Rfam family: tRNA (bases 136-209)
Source: RNAcentral